Molecule: long non-coding RNA, 14594 nt
Filed under: Prunus persica (peach)
Lineage: Eukaryota; Viridiplantae; Streptophyta; Magnoliopsida; Rosales; Rosaceae
Description: long non-coding RNA (PPER_LNC005023)
Source: RNAcentral
GAGCAACUUAUCAUCUGAAUAGUAGACACCAGGGACAACAAUGGCAGGGCAAAAUGCAAGUUGUUCAUUCUCUGCAAAGAAGUUAUCAAUGUUUUUAUUCAGAACCAGACGGCCAACUGGCUGCAGAGGAAGAAUAUCUUCAGGCCAGGUCUUAGUUACAUCAAGUGGAUCAAAGUCAAAUCUGUCCUCAUGAUUGGGAUCAAUUGUCUGAAUAUAAAGUUUCCACUCAGGGUAGUUGCCAGCUGCAAUGGAAUCAUAGAGAUCCUUGGUAGCAUGGCUGUGAUUAGCUCCUCCAACCUUAAUAGCUUCAUCCUCCAACAAACACUUGACUCCACACGUAGGUUUCCAAUGAAAUUUCACAUACUGUACUUUCCCCGCCUUAUUGAUAAGGGUAUAGGUGUUAACACCAGAGCCUUCCAUGUGCCUGUAAUCUUGUGGAACUCCCAGAUCAUCAAAUAGGAAGGUGAACAUGUGCAGGCUUUCUGGGUGGUGGGAGAAGAAGUCAAGGAUCCUCCAAGGCUCUUGAAUGUGCGACUUGGGGUUCGGUUUGAGAGCAUGGACCAUGUCCGGGAAUUUCAUUCCGUCACGAACAAAAAAGACAGGGAAAUUGUUUCCAACCAGGUCAAAAUUACCCUGUGUUUAAGAACAAAGUCGCCACAUGAGUACUAACAACACAGCAAAAUAAACCUGAAUAAAGUUGUAUAUAGUGAAUAAUAAUGUUACCAAGAAAUCAACCAUCUGUAUAAGCAUCUAGAUUACAGAUGGUAUGCUACAUGAGCAAUCUUUUACAGCCAGGUGACUACCCCCAUUAGUAAACGAAAAUGAAAAGGCAAAGAAAAGAAAGGAAUGAAUGCAAUCUUUCAUCAAAGUCACAAGACUGCAUAAUUUCCAACAACUAUAAUUAGUCAAAUAUGAAUUGAGUACUUCAUAUUUUGUCACCACAGCCACCUCAGCUGCCACUACAGACACCAAUACAUAUCCACUAAAUAUGCCUAUGCUAUUGAAAAUAAAAAUAAAAUUAACACAUUGAUAAUAUAAAGGUAAAAACCUCACCUCUCUGGUGUAAAACUUCACUGCAAAACCACGAGGAUCCCUCAGGGUUUCAGGGCUGCCACGCUCAUGGAUAACAGUGGAGAAACGCACAAUGACAGGUGUCUGAACACCGGGGGCUCGAAGGAAGUCAGCACAUGUAAGCUGAGAAAUAUCAUGAGUGACCUCGAAGAAUCCCUUCGCACUGGCUCCCCUAGCAUGGACAACACGCUCUGGGAUUCGUUCUCUAUCAAAGUUGGCAAGUUUCUCCACCAGAUGAUAGUCCUCAAGGAGAAUUGGGCCUGACAAAUAGACACAGAAAUUUAAUUCGGAACUGCACCGACUCAACUCACCAUAUUUAAGCAUCUAGAUUACAUGCAAAUAUAGGAUAAAAAUGAAAUUAGUUGUUAUACAUUCCAGAACAUCAAAUAAAGAUGAUUGCUGCUCAGUUGCAAAUAUUCGUAAUUUUUAUUUACAUUUAGAAGGUAGGUUUUCAGACAACCAGAUGAUCAAAAAACCCAUCUUGACAAACCAAAAGGAGGCUGGAGGAAUUAAAAGAGAACCAACAGUGCGGGAGAAUCAUUUUUCAACUAAAGUAAGCAUAAAAUUUUAAAAUAAAUGUCAAUAGGAAAAGGAUCAGCUUCAAAUACAAGAUAUAUAAGUAUAUAUACAUAUCUUAAAUCCCACAAGCGUUUCCAAAGAUUAAUCAUCCUCAACAUGGUAGUGGUGGGAAUAACAUCCAAAAAGCAGUUUACAGCUCAUAAUCACAUGAAUAUCAAAAUCUUGUUCAGAAAAGUUGAGAAAACCAUCACAAAAAUUCAAAACCCAGGUAAGCGAAGAACCAAUGAUAACAAAGAUGAAUAUAUACACACAAAUAGUGAAUAGCAUCAUAAGAUAGAUUGAACAUGAAGCGCAACUAAAAAAACAAUAAAAUAUAAAAUAUAAACUGUGUUGCAAUUGAAAAGCCAGCAUCAAUCAACGAAGAGUUGUGAUGAAUUACCUCUAGAUCCAACAGUCAAAGAAGAGUUGUUGUUCCAAACAGGAGCACCGGAGUUUGUGGUCCAGAAUGGGGAAUCAAAAGCACUUGAAGGGCGGUACUGCAACAUACACAACGAAAACGAAACAAGACCAUGAUGAGCUAAAAGAACAACAAACACAAAAUUUCGAGCUACGCUUAAAUGACCAAUCUGAUUGAUCAAGAAGAUUAAUUCAUCAAGAAAUCAAACUUAAACAAAUCAAGAGAUAUUAUAACAGGGAAAUGAGUACCUUGUAAGGAUCCAUGGAGAAAGAGGGGGAAGGAGGAGUUUGAUAAGAAGGUGAGAGAGCAGAGCAAAGCCACCCAAAGGGAGGGUCGUGUGGCAAAUGAGAAUCGAAGAGCGAAAUGUGAAAUUGGGGAAUUUAUAAACACUUGCGGGUCGUGGGCGUGGCUCGCGCUUCUGCGCAAAUUACCAAUCUCAGCAGGUUAUCUUUAUCCACACACAGAGUGGGAGGUCAAGAGAAGAGAAGACAUAUCUUUGCCAAUUUAGCGUCGCGAGUCAGAACGAUUCUCGCCAAACCUGUCAACGAAGCAUUCUUGUAUGCACAAUUGUGGCAAAACGUCCUUCACUCACUUCAAAUCUUUUACAACCAAUUUUAUGAGGAGGGAUUUUUUUACAAAAAAAAUAAAAAAUUAUACAAUUUUAUGAGGAGAUGGUAUGCAACAAAAAAACAGAGGGGAUUCAGAUUUUUUUUUUUUAAUGGAAAUUAUUGUCCAAAAACAAAAGAAACAUUGAAGAAAUUGAGAGUUCAAUUUAAAAGUAAAAGAGAUCAUUAAAAUGAGUAAAAGAGACUAGAAACACCAUAAUUGACUGUGUAAUUAUAAAAUAUAUGGAGUCGUUUUUUUAUUUUUCAAAUUUUGUGAACAUAUUAUCCCUAAAUAAUGAACACAAAAAUUGAUUUAAAUAUAAUGUUGGUGUUGAUUGCAAUUAAUAAUAGCUAACUAUAGAGAUUUGAUUGAAACAAUUAAAACAUUUCACCACGACAACAAGGUCAAGAAUGCAAGUUGUUUAUUAUUAUGAAUUGGUUUCAAGACGAACAAUUUAACAACAAAUUCCAAACCUCUAUAUUUAGGAUUCAUGCAUUUAUCUACAUUUUAUGAAACUAAGUUGCUCAAAUAAUCUAACCAUUUAACAUGACACAUCAUCAAUUUUUAACCUAAGAUUUUUUUAAAAAAAAAUUGAAGUUAAUUUUAAAGUUAACGUGCUUGAGGGGUUUUUUUUUUCAUCAUGCUUCCUCCUUGAGAAAACUGUGAAUAAAAUUAAUUAAUUGCUACUUAUCUUCAGCUUAUAUAUUGAACCCUAAAGCAUAAAGCGAACUUCAAAACUUUAAUUUUUUGGCCACACAAACUUGAGCAAAGUAUGUCUUAUCUUUUUCACAAGAUUAUUCACUCUCAUUCUAAAUUCAUCGUGAUAUGUUAAGAAAUAACAAGUUUCACGAUGAACUAAAAAAGAACUCUCAAGCACGUUAACAUUAACGUUAGCAUAAGUUUUUGGAAAGAACGAAAAAGACCUUAAUUUAAAGAUUGAUGAUAUGUCAUAUGAAUGGUUAAAUUAUUUAGUUUAAAUUUUACGAAAUAUAAAUAAAUACACGGAUUCUAAAUAUAGAAAUUUGAUAUUCAUUUGCCAUAAAUAUCACUUUAAGAGUGAAAAUCCAGAAUACUAAACUAAAAUUAUAUUUCUUCACAAAAAUUGCAUCUAAAGAUGAGGAUAAAUUGAUGUUCAUCCGGACAUUGAAAAAGCACAAUAUAUCGUGAAGAUAUUCGAUAUAUUGAAAACCUCGCCGAUAUUCAUGUAGGAAGGCUAAACGAUUUUUUUAUGGCAAAAACUUCAACAACAACAACAAAAAAAGAGGCCUGGAAAAUUAUUAUUAUCAUAAUCGUGGUGGGAAUUCAAAAUUGAAAAUAAUUGAGAACGUCAUGCAUUCAUCGUUCGUUAUCCAGGUCUUGGAGCUUUGCUAACACCUAGGCGCAACCACUUAAGGCAGUGGCGGGUAUGGGUGACGUGGUCCACUCACAAGACGCCACGACCACCAAAGUGUACCUUGAAACGCGUGCUCUUAGAAAAUAGCACAGAGAUUCUCUCUCUCAGGGGAUAUGCUUGAAAUUUAUGAACAAAACAGAAGGAAAAAUAAAAACAAACAAGAGGCUAUUUUUGGUGUUGUCUGUGUGAAAGCCGCCAAAACAGCAAAUAUGCUGAUAAGGUUAGAAUGGGCCGAGCUCAGAUUAGCCACAAAGACUGUUCCUCUCUGGGCCCACUUAUCAAUAUUUUAACAUUUUUUUUAAUGGAGCUCGACAAUGAACAAAUUUUGAAGGUAAUUACUUGAUGUUAGUUAGAGAACCUCUAUGUCUAAGGGAACUACGAGUUCAAGGAAGCUUUGAGGUAUGCUCAUGUGACCCUACUUCUUGUUCUUUAUGCAUAAACAUAUUCAAGUUGCAUGUUCAAGGCUUGCCAUCUAAUCAUUAUAUAAUAUUUUGAUCAUCUAUUAUAAAAAUAUAAAAAAAACUAUGUAACUGGGCCUUGGUGCAAUAAGAACUUAAGCAUUAGCUUCAUGUAUGUAGGAAAAGUAGCAAAUAAUUUCAAUUGUAAAAUGAAUGCUUUGGUUUCUUUUCUUGUUAAUGCCGUUUGACUGGUUGUUUUGUCUUAGUGGUUCUUUGACCUCUCUUUGGUCUUUUUAUUGAAAGUUAUGUUGAGAAACUGAAAUUAACUUAAACGUAAAAGGAUUUUUUGAGUAAACAUAUUUCACAGCAUAAGAAUACUGCAGUUUUCCUCUCUUAUAUAUAUCUGAAAAACAAAGCUUACAAAAUAACAAUCUCCACAAUAACCACUAACACACAAGUGCAGAUUUUGUGGAGUUCAACUACCUUAAGCAACGGAAGCAAAUUUGAACGUGGUGAACAGACUAAACCACAACUUCUACAUUCUAGGACUUCAGCUUGACUUGGUCUCUACAUGGCCAUGUCAGCAUUAUUUAAUUAAAAAACUAAUUAAACUUAACUAAAUAACUUUUAACACCCUCCCUUAAACUGAUUUUUACGAAAAACAGUUUAGGAUCUCUACACCAUCACAUAAUCAUCUUCCUGUUCAAUGCUUUGAAAUGAACAAACUCCCAACAUGCUUCUCAGCUUCUCAAGCGCAGGUACCAUCACAUAAUCAUCUUCCUGUUCAAUGCUUUGAAAUGAACAAACUCCCAACAUGCUUCUCAGCUUCUCAAACGCAGGUUGCUUCAAAGGCUUAGUUAAGAUGUCUGCAACCUGCUCCCCACUCUUGCAAUAUUCAAGUACAAUCUUCCCAUCACUGCACAGGUCACGCAAAAAAUGAAAACGUACAUCAAUGUGUUUACUUCUCCCAUGCAUGACUGGAUUCCUCGAUAGCUUUAUAGUUGACAUGUUGUCGCAGUAGAUGGUUGUUGGUCCCUUUUGAACAUCACCAAGCACUUCAAAUAUUUUCCUAAGCGACAUAGCUUGACAGGAGCUUGCAGCUGCUGCUACAUAUUCAGCUUCUGUUGAGGAAAGUGUCACAAUUUGUUGCUUCUUUGAGGACCACGAUAUUGCACCAGAGUUGAGCAGAAAUGUGUGACCGGAAGUGCUCUUACGAUCAUCUAUAUCACCUGCAUAGUCACUAUCUGUGUACCCAACAAAACCAGAACCAUCUUCCCUUUUAUAAAACACACCAUAAUCAAUUGUCCCCUUUACAUACCUGAGAAUUCUCUUUGCUGCAUUGAGAUGCAUUUCAGUUGGUUUUUCCAUAUAUCGGCUCACAAGACUCACUGCAUACAUGAUGUCAGGCCUCGUGUAUGUUAAAUACAUGAGACUCCCAAUUAUCUGUUUAUAGAAAGUGCUGUCAACCUCCUUUCCACCUUUGUCUUUGCAUAGCUUUAAGCCAUGUUCAGCUGGAGUUCCAAAUGGCUUGCAGUCAUCCAUCUGAAACCUGUUAAGAAUGUCCUGUGCAUAUUUUUUCUGGUAGAUGAAAUUACCAGCAGUAGUUUGAAUGACUUCCAAUCCAAGAAAAUAGUGCAUUAAUCCUAGAUCAGUCAUUUCAAACUCCAUCAUCAUAGACUUCUUGAAUUCAUCAAACAUUUUAGCAUCACUUCCAGUGAAUAUCAAGUCAUCAACAUACAAGCAUACCAUGAGUAUUUUACCUUCUUCCUCAGUCUUGACAUAAAGUGUGUGCUCAAAAGGACAUUUGUGAAAUCCAAGCUUAGCAAAGUGAGCAUCUAUGCGACUGUACCAAGCUCGAGGUGCUUGUUUCAGUCCAUAGAGUGUUUUCUUCAGUUUGAACACCUUCUCUUCUUCUCCUUUUCUCUCAUAACCAGGUGGUUGAUCAAUGUACACCUCCUCUUGCAGGUUUCCAUGCAGGAAUGCUGACUUCACGUCUAACUGAAAAAUUUGCCAGGAAUUUUGAGCUGCAAGAGAGAUCACUAACCUAAUCGUGUCGUGCCUCGCAACUGGGGCAAACACCUCUUUGUAAUCAAUGCCAUGCUUCUGCUUGUAGCCCUUAGCUACCAAACGAGCUUUGUGCUUGUCAACCUCACCUUUUUCGUUCAACUUUGUUCUAAACACCCAUUUAACACCAAUGGUUUGCUUUCCCUUUGGAAGAUCAGUUAACUCCCAGGUUUGAUUCUUCUCAAUGGACUUGAUUUCAUUGUCCAUUGCUUCCCUCCAUUUCUCCUCUUUAACAGCCUCAGUAUAUGUGAUUGGAUCACUAUCUACAAGUAAUGCAAAGUGAGCAUUUUCAUCAUCAGAACUUGAAUAACUUACAUCGUAGUCCAUCAUCCAUGCUGGCCUCUUCCUUGAGUUCUCAUCUCUCAAAUUGUAUCUCUCUUCUUCAAACUGUUGAGAUGACUGAACUUCAAGUUGAGGUGGCUGCUGGGCUUGAGUUUCAGGAGCUGCUACCUCUUCAUUGUCUAAAUCAUCAUAAACUGGAAUUUGUUGUUGAACCGAUCUGUUCUCAGACCAAUUCCACAUAGUGUCUUCAUCAAAUAUCACAUCCCUGCUUACCACUAUCUUCUUUGUAACUGGAUUGUACAGUUUGUAUGCUUUUGAGACUUCACUUACACCAAGAAAAACACAUUUUUCACUUUUGUCAUCCAACUUCUUUCUUUUCUCAUCGGGGAUGUGUGCAUAUGCUAUGCACCCAAACACCCUAAAGUGAUCAACCGCAGGCUUCAAUCCACUCCAAGCUUCUUGAGGAGUCAUAUUCUUAACAGAAAAUGUGGGACUUCUGUUUAAAAUAUGAACUGACCAUAGCACAGCUUCAGGCCAAAACUUCUUGGGAAUUCUUCCUUUGACUAGCAGACUUCGAACCAUGUUGAGAAUGGUGCGAUUUUUCCUCUCACUUACACCAUUUUGUUGUGGUGUAUAGGCAGUGGUCAACUGUCUCUUGAUGCCUUUCUCUUUGCAAAAUGCAUCAAAUUCCUUCGAACAGUACUCUCCCCCACGGUCAGUUCUUAGAGUUUUAAUCUUCUUUUCUGAUUCAUUUUCAACUAGAGCUUUGAAGCUUUUGAAUGCUUCAAAUGCCUCUGAUUUUUCCUGCAAGAAAUAUACCCAUGUCUUUCUACUAAAAUCAUCAGUAAAGGAGAUGAAAUAUUUCUUGUUACCAUUUGAGAUGGGAUUUAUUGGUCCACAUAGAUCAGAGUGAACCAUCUCCAGGAUUUAUUGAGCCCUUGCUGCCUUGCCACUUGGAAAAGAGUCUCUUUUGUGCUUCCCAGUGAUGCAUUCUUCACACAUCUUUGAUGGAGGAGUUAUAUCAGGUAAGCCAGUGACCAUCCCUUUCUGGUGAAGUGUUCUCAAGCCAUUAAAAUUCAAAUGGCCAUAUCUGUAGUGCCAUCUCCACGGGUCAUCUUCUUUGGCAAAUAAGCAAGCCUGCAGAGUCUUGAUUUUCAAAGGAAACAAUCUGUUGGAAGACAUUUUCACAACAGCAAUGGACCCUCUUUUUGGGUCGUACACUUCCCACUCUCCUUUAUAGAUUGUAAUCCUAUAGCCUUUAUCUUGUAACUGACCAGCACUCAGCAAAUUUGUCUUCAAAUCAGGAAUAUAAAAAACAUUUGAGAUAGUUUCAAUAAAGUCAUUUUUAGUUUUGAUUUGAAUAUCUCCCUUACCCAUCACUUUCACUGUUGACUUGUCACCAAAACUCACUACCGUGUGAAAGCUUUCAUCCAAAUUAAUAAAGGAAGACUUACAUCCACUCAUGUGAUUGCUGCAGCCUGUGUCCACAUACCAUGUCUCCUGAUCAGUUUUUGUCAGUGCAUGAAAAGCCAUCAAAAGUGUCUCUUCCUCCUUCUUUUUCUCCACAAAAUUUGACUUUUCUCCUUUUUCUUUUGGUAACUUCGUGUAGCACUCAUUCUUGUAGUGCCCAAAAUUUCCACAUCUAUAACACUCCACUUUUGACUUAUCAAAGUGGUACGUUCCUUUUUCUUCAAAGUCAUCAUCUCUUUUGAAAACAUGAGAUGACUUGCUGUCAUCUCUAUGUCCAGACCGUCCACCUCCUCGAUGACCUCGACCACCUCUUCCUCUAUCACGUCCACCUCUUCCACGACCUCUUCCUCCUCGAGAACUUGAGGACUCAGAAACAAUGGAAGCUUUCAGAGCUGUUUGUUCUUCACUGGCAGUGGUGCGGUUAAGUCUUUGUUCAUGCACUAACAAAGAGCUUUGUAGUUCAUCAACUCGUAACUCAGCAACGUUCUUUGCCUCUUCAAUUGAACAGACAAUGUAGUCAAAUUUUGGAGUCAAUGAUCUCAUAAUUUUCUCCACAACUUUGACUUCUUCCAUGGUGCCACCAUUGGAUCUCAUCUUGCUUGCUAUUCCCAGAGUUCUAGCAAAGAAAUCAGUGAUGGACUCUCCUGAUUUCAUUUGUAAAGUUUCGAAGUCCCUUGUUAGAGUUUGAAGCACUGCACGCUUCACCCUCUCUGACCCUGCAUAUUUCUUCUUCAAAGAAUCCCAUAUUUGUUUGGAGGUCUCCUUCUCGAGUAUCGUCUCCAAGAUAGAUCGAUCAAGUGCCUGAAAAAGGUAAUUUUUCACCCUCAAGUCCUUCAGCUUCUGUUCAGCAACCCUCUUUUGUUGUUGUUCAGUCAACACAACUCCCUCUGCUGGGGCGUCAAUUCCUGAUUCCACAAGAUUCCAAUACUCCUUUGACCUGAGAAAAUUUUCCAUCAGCAUGCUCCAAUGGUCGUAGUGACCAUCAAAUCGUGGAAUCGCUGGUUGAAUAAAACUCUCAGUGGCUUUCUCUGUUGCCAUUGUUUCUUGCUGCUGCAAGACACAAUCUUUCACCUUUUUUUCAAGUUUGUUCAGGCCCAGAAGAGCUCUGAUACCAGAUGUUGAGAAACUGAAAUUAACUUAAACGUAAAAGGAUUCUUUGAGUAAACAUAUUUCACAGCAUAAGAAUACUGCAGUUUUCCUCUCUUAUAUACAUCUGAAAAACAAAGCUUACAAAAUAACAAUCUCCACAAUAACCACUAACACACAAGUGCAGAUUUUGUGGAGUUCAACUACCUUAAGCAACGGAAGCAAAUUUGAACGUGGUGAACAGACUAAACCACAACUUCUACAUUCUAGGACUUCAGCUUGACUUGGUCUCUACAUGGCCAUGUCAGCAUUAUUUAAUUAAAAAACUAAUUAAACUUAACUAAAUAACUUUUAACAAGUUAAUCAAAUAAAAUAAAAAUAAAACAACAAUUAGAAGGGUUGCAAUUAGAUAGGCUUGCUAGGCUCCAAGAGGUGCAAGACUGUCUUUUGAUUAAAGUUCAAGCUCCCAAGUCCAAAUUUGGGGCACCAACUAGCCUAUCUCAUUGCAGGCGCUUAACACUUGAAGGGACUGGCGCAAUGAUUUACUAGUAAAAUUUGUAAUAGCUUAAGACUUCGCUAGUAUCAUUUAGUAGUUACAAAUCACUUUACUUCGCCAGUAGUGAGUCCCAAUAUCGGCUGAAUUGCUCUUUCGCCAGUAUUAGUCUGUCGGUAUAAGCUAAAAUUGUAGUAGUGUAAGCUAAUUCUUGAUUUACUGUAAUUAUUCCCUUAUCGGUUAAAACUUCAAAUCAUCAAAGAAAAUCAAAGCACUCUCUAAGAAUUUCACCCUUUAAGAGUGCAUUGAGGCAAACCUAAAAAAAUUCUUCUUCAUCAUCAUCUUGUCACGCUUCCUGAAUCCACCAUAGGAGAUUUUAGUUUGGCCCUCUGGAUGUCCUCUUUUAGGUCUUUACGCACCGCUUCUUGGGGCUUAUCACUUGAGCUCCCAAAGAUCACUCUCUUAGCUUCAGCAAAACUUCCGUCGUGAUCUCGUUUGCGUUUCCCUAGGAUCUCCAAGGCCUCCAGCUGUUUUUGCAUCUCUUUAGAAUAAGAAGUUACCAUCUUUGAUAACUUUUCAUUUUCUGCCUGCAAUAUUUGAAGCUAGCGUUGAUUCUCCUCUGCUGUUUUUUCCUCUUUUUUUUUUUUUCAAUCUUUUGAUCUCACGCCGAUAUUCAUCAACCAAAUUCUGCUCUGCCACAACUAAGCUCUCAGUACUUGCACCUCAUAAGAUUUUGCAAUGAGGCGAUGCCCCACACUUGUGAUAGUUGUCGCAUUUUGCAAGCACAGUGCCACAACAUUGCUCACUAACCGGUUGUCAUCCCCCGUUCCUAGUAUGCAUACAUCCCUGGGAGUCACCAAACUCUUCGCAACUCCAAUGGCAACCUCGUUGUCAAGGAGUAACGAGUCGCUUUUUGUCACUGGUCCUCGUGAAGAAGCAAAGUAGGGUAUCCAGACUGGUGCAACUCCUUGCCCCUAUGUCUGUGUUGGCGGAGCUAGGUUAAGAUCCAAAGAAGAUGAGAAGGGAUACGACAUUUUCUUUCUGCUUUCUUUUUCUUUCAUUUUCUCUCUUUUCUCUUUCUUCUUUCCUUUCUCUUUUCUUUCUUUCUUUUCUCUCUUCUGCGUGGUUGUAAUUCUUCUUUUUCCUUUGUUUCCUUUAAUAGAUGAACCCUAGCACCAUUGCACCGUCUAAUUUUUCCGCAUUCCUUGAGCUCCACAGCCUUCUCGCUUUCCACCGUCUACAACUUUGUCGCGACUUGUGCAACGUCGUCCCUACUAUCCAUGGCACCCAUAAUUCCGCUUGUAGAUUUGUCGUACCUCUGCGCGUCGACACAUGUCUCCUCUCUCUAGGGGUGGGCAUUGGAUUUGUGGUUCAAAUUGAUUUAGGGUUGAUUAAAAUAAAAUGGCAGCCCUAGAAACAGUGACCAGGUAUCUAUCCCAUAUGACAUAAAACAUUUAAAAACAUCCAUGGGACUAUAUUUAAAAAAUCAACUUGAUAAUGUUUAGUUGGAUUGUAUAAUGUGUUUUGUUUUGUUUUGUUGGAUUAUAAAAUGUUUAAGUUUCUGUUUUUUUGUUUAUUUAUAAAAUCAUCCAUGGGACUUCAUUUUCGGUUCAAGGUUCCAUUUUUUUAAGAAACCAGUCCAAAUCGGACCAUGCCCACCCCUACCUCUCUGUCUCUUUUUUUGCUUUGUUUUCCUUCUCUCUCUCUCUCUCUCUCUCUCUCUCUCUCUCUCUCUCUCUCUCUCUCUCUCUUCCUUAUAUAUUCUCUCCUCUCUCUGUUUUUUUAUUUAAAUUUUUUCAAUUGUGAGUUUUGUAACAUGCAUGUUAUUUUAUUUAUGAACCCAUUACACGACUCCAAACUCACACAAAAAAAGACGACCCGAACCCAAGAAGACAUGUUUAUUAAAUGGGUUAGAUUCGGGUUGAGCAUUCUUGACACGUUUGUUAAUUGGAUUGGGUUAAAUAAAUCAAUGACAGCAUAAAAUGAACACAGGGUUUGUGAAAAAUGUGAUAUUUUCAAUGACUAUAUUAAUAAAUCUUUAUUUUUUGAGUAGUUAGAUUUUUGCACAAAGCUUACCUUCCUCAACUGAUAGCUGCAUUGAUCUUUUGUCUAGCUCAACGGCGUGUCUGCUAAGCUCAGAUGGUGAUAAUUGACGAAGCGCUGGCAACAUGAUGAACGAAGAGCAUUUUCAGUGCUGGCAAAACUAAAGGCAGAAAAAUUGUAUGAAAUUUUUUAAAUUGAAAGAGCAGUGCCAUAAUAAAAUGACCUACUCUGGAUCUAUUCUCUCUGAUCAGAAUCAUCAAAUUGCUUCAAGAGGUUCUUGAAAUGUAGAAACCCUUCUGUCCUUUGCUCAUCAUGGUUCUUCUCAGAACCAACCAAGUGAGGAACCAGAGAUUCAGGAGUGAAUCUAAGUUGCCUGGAAUGAGCAGCUGGCAAUCCAUUGGAACAGGUGGUUUACCAGGUGAAAAAUCUACCGGAGAAGCCAAGGGCAUUGGUGCGAACGCAGAUGUCUCAUGUUCCUGCUUCUUGGUUCUGUCUCUAGGUAGGUCUUGCUGCUUUUGCAAACAAUAUCGUUUGAAAUUGAGAGAGUAAGUAUUUUGUUCUCACACCUUUAACUCUUCGCUUGCCUAAUGCUGAAUCUAACUUCCUCGCACUACCACCAUGCAUGAGCUGAUCACUUGCACUGCUGAUGCUCGUGAAUUGGUGACAAGGGGAGCUCCGUGGCAACUCAGGGUUGAGUAUCUUAGUUCCCAAAACCUUAAUGGGAUGCGCGACUGGUCGUCCUAGAAAAACAUACUUGUUAGGGUUAGAGGUCCAUCGGAGUAGUCAUUAGCUGCUAAUCAACCCGAGAGAGAGAGAGAGAGAGAGAGAGAGAGAGAGAGAGAGAGAGAGAGAGAGAGAGAGAGAGCAAAGAAGAAAUGUGGGGCGUGUUUUUUUUUUCCUAAUCUUAUAAUUAAGCGUGUGUUUUCUAAAUCGGGGCAUGUGAGUUGUAUUAGUCGGGUAAUGAGAGUAUUAAAAACUUUCGUUUAAUAUAAUUCAGUAAUUAAGUAAUACAAGUUGACAUCAAACAAAUGACAUUGACUAUUUACUCAUAUCCAUAGUCUAAUACCAUGUACCAAACAUACCUAUACGAGCUUUUGCCACAUGACUCAUCUAACAUGACAAUCCAAGUCCACAAACACAAGCAUACACACUAAGACAGGACACUCAUAUGCAUGUGAACUACAAGAACGACUGCAUAAUAUCUUGUAUAGAAACAAGACAAUACAACCGGCGCUUAUUACAUUGGAACUACAGUUCACAUUACAUACCAAAUUUAGUAUAACACAGAUAGGAAUUCAAACAUUUGACUUGGCAUAACCCUCAAAUGCUUGGCCUCACAUUGAGACGGGAUAAAAGCUUUUGACCCAGAGACUUAUCUGCCUGCAUUGCCAAUACAAGCACAUAACAUCAGAACAACAUGGCUUAUUCUAAAACUAACCCUUCAUAUUCCAGUAUCACAUCAUCACGUUGCUUAACGGUACAAAUUCACAAAUGCAAUAAUUUAUAAAUAGACUCACCUGAGACCAGUAUGAGAUCCAAAUGCUGCGAAUCUCAUGGGUGACACGAGGGUCUGAUAGGGCAUCCACCCAUCGGCGGAUGAAUCGCUCUUGCCUGCAUGAAGAUGCAAGAUUAAGAACAAUGUUUAAAUACAAUUAUUUUCAUACAGAGACAUCACAGGGUUGCCAGGUACCUGUCUGGCGCCCAAGAUCUGUAUCUCUCUCCAGGUUGCUUAAAGUUGUUCUCCUUCUCAAUGACGCACUGAAUAACCAAAACAAAGUUCCCAUAUGAAUUAUUAUGUGCAGAAAACAAGGAAAAUCCAGAAAUGCAAUCGGUGCAUAUGUAUACACACACACACCUACACUAGUGUAUGUGCCCAGGUGACAGAAAAAGGGACACAGCUGGAAGAAAAGAUGAUGUACAGACGAGACGGGGAAACUAAGGUAUAUUAUUUAAAGCAAUAUUCCUCAAUUGAUAGAAACUGACCUUCUCACGCUUUCCAGAAAGGAUAUUAGAAGGAAUGGGGUAGCGCUCAGCAUGACGAACAGGAUCAUGCCUUGAAGGGAAGUAAUUAACCUGAAAAUAACAGUAUAGCAACUCAUCAGAGAAAACUCAAAUGAAUAAACAUGCAUACAAUUGGAGUUGUCCUCCCAGAAUAUUGAGCAAUCGAAGUAUACAAGGGCCAAAGCGAUUCCAUAUGAGACAUAACAAUUGAGUAAAAUAAUAAUACCUCCUCAUCCCUGUGCAUGAAAUUCAUGAAUCCCUCAUGAUGAUUGUUAUGAUGAGGACACUUGGGAGCAUUCACUGGGAGCUGCAGAUAGUUCGGGCCAAGACGGUGCCUCUGAGUAUCAGAAUAUGCGAAGAUUCGAGUUUGGAGCAUCUUAUCAUCUGAAUAGUAGAUACCAGGGACAACAUGGGCAGGGUUAAACGCAAGUUGUUCAUUCUCUGCAAAGAAGUUAUCGAUGUUUUUAUUCAGAACCAAACGGCCAACUGGCUGCAGGGGAAGGAUAUCUUCAGGCCAGGUCUUAGUUAAGUCAAGAGGGUCAAAGUCAAAUCUGUCCUCGUGAUCAGGAUCCAUUGUCUGAAUAUAAAGUUUCCACUCAGGGUAGUUGCCAGCUGCAAUGGAAUCAUAGAGGUCCUUGGUAGCAUGGCUGUGAUUAGCUCCUCCAACCUUAAUAGCUUCAUCCUCCAACAAACACUUGACUCCACAAGUAG